This is a long non-coding RNA of Mytilus californianus (California mussel), 4672 nucleotides long. RefSeq lists it as uncharacterized. The transcript is spliced from 3 exons. NCBI's taxonomy places the organism in Eukaryota, Metazoa, Mollusca, Bivalvia, Mytilida, Mytilidae. The record is from RefSeq and is a predicted model, not a curated record.
AUGCUGAAUCUAAACAUGUAUUUAGAUUUUUGAUUUUUUGGCCCAGUUUUCAAGUUGGUCCAAAUUGGGGUCCAAAAUUAAACUUUGUUUGAUUUCAACAAAAAUUGAAUAUAUGGGGUUCUUUGAUAUGCUGAAUCUAACCAUGUAUUUAGAUUUUUUAUUUGUGGACCCCGCUAUCAAAUAUGUUCAUAUUGAGGUCAAAAGGGUCCAAAAUUAAACUUUGUUUGAUUUCAUCAAAAAUUGAAUAUAUGGGGUUCUUUGAUAUGCUGAAUCUAACCAUGUAUUUAGAUUUUUGAUUUUUGGGCCCCGUUAUCAACUUUGUUCACAUUGAGGUCAAAAGGGUCCAAAAUUAAACUUAGUUUGAUUUUAACAAAAAUUAAAUUCUUGGGGUUCUUUGAUAGGCUGAAUCUAAACAUGUGUUUAGAUUUUUGAUAAUGGGCCCAGUUUUCAAGUUGGUCCAAGUUGGGGUCCAAAAUUAAACUUUGUUUGAUUUCAACAAAAAUUGAAUAUAUGGGGUUCUUUGAUAUGCUGAAUCUAAACAUGUAUUUAGAUUUUAGAUUUUUGGCCCAGUUUUCAAGUUGGUCCAAAUUGGGGUCCAAAAUCAAACUUUGUUUGAUUUCAACAAAAAUUGAAUAUAUGGGGUUCUUUGAUAUGCUGAAUCUUACCAUGUAUUUAGAUUUUUUAUUUGUGGGCCCGCUAUCAAAUUGGUUCAUAUUGAGGUCAAAAGGGUCCAAAAUUAAACUUUGUUUGAUUUCAUCAAAAAUUGAAUUCUUGGGGUUCUUUGAUGUGCCGAAUCUAACCGUGUUUUUAGAUUUUUAAUUUUGGGUCCCAUUUUUAAAUUGGUCUACAUUAAGGUCCAAAGGGUCCAAAAUUAAACUUAGUUUGAUUUUAACAAAAAUUGAAUUCUUGGGGUUCUUUGAUAUGCUGAAUCUAAACAUGUAUUUAGAUUUUUGAUUUUUGGCCCAGUUUUCAAGUUGGUCCAAAUUGGGGUCCAAAAUUAAACUUUGUUUGAUUUCAACAAAAAUUGAAUAUAUGGGGUUCUUUGAUAUGCUGAAUCUAACCAUGUAUUUAGAUUUUUUAUUUGUGGACCCCGCUAUCAAAUUGGUUCAUAUUGAGGUCAAAAGGGUCCAAAAUUAAACUUUGUUUGAUUUCAACAAAAAUUGAAUAUAUGGGGUUCUUUGAUAUGCUGAAUCUAACCAUGUAUUUAGAUUUUUGAUUUUUGGGCCCCUUUAUCAACUUUGUCCACAUUGAGGUCAAAAGGGUCCAAAAUUAAACUUAGUUUGAUUUUAACAAAAAUUGAAUUCUUGGGGUUCUUUGAUAUGCUGAAUAUAAACAUGUGUUUAGAUUUUUGAUAAUGGGCCCAGUUUUCAAGUUGGUCCAAGUUGGGGUCCAAAAUUAAACUUUGUUUGAUUUCAACAAAAAUUGAAUAUAUGGGGUUCUUUGAUAUGCUGAAUCUAAACAUGUAUUUAGAUUUUAGAUUUUUGGCCCAGUUUUCAAGUUGGUCCAAAUUGGGGUCCAAAAUCAAACUUUGUUUGAUUUCAACAAGAAUUGAAUAUAUGGGGUUCUUUGAUAUGCUGAAUCUUACCAUGUAUUUAGAUUUUUUAUUUGUGGGCCCGCUUUCAAAUUGGUUCAUAUUGAGGUCAAAAGGGUCCAAAAUUAAACUUUGUUUGAUUUCAUCAAAAAUUGAAUUCUUGGGGUUCUUUGAUUUGCCGAAUCUAACCGUGUAUUUAGAUUUUUGAUUUUUGGGCCCCUUUAUCAACUUUGUCCAUAUUGAGGUCAAAAGGGUACAAAAUUAAACUUAGUUUGAUUUUAACAAAAAUUAAAUUCUUGGGGUUCUUUGAUAGGCUGAAUCUAAACAUGUGUUUAGAUUUUUGAUAAUGGGCCCAGUUUUCAAGUUGGUCCAAGUUGGGGUCCAAAAUUAAACUUUGUUUGAUUUCAACAAAAAUUGAAUAUAUGGGGUUCUUUGAUAUGCUGAAUCUAAACAUGUAUUUAGAUUUUAGAUUUUUGGCCCAGUUUUCAAGUUGGUCCAAAUUGGGGUCCAAAAUCAAACUUUGUUUGAUUUCAACAAAAAUUGAAUAUAUGGGGUUCUUUGAUAUGCUGAAUCUUACCAUGUAUUUAGAUUUUUUAUUUGUGGGCCCGCUAUCAAAUUGGUUCAUAUUGAGGUCAAAAGGGUCCAAAAUUAAACUUUGUUUGAUUUCAUCAAAAAUUGAAUUCUUGGGGUUCUUUGAUUUGCCGAAUCUAACCGUGUUUUUAGAUUUUUAAUUUUGGGUCCCAUUUUUAAAUUGGUCUACAUUAAGGUCCAAAGGGUCCAAAAUUAAACUUAGUUUGAUUUUAACAAAAAUUGAAUUCUUGGGGUUCUUUGAUAUGCUGAAUCUAAACAUGUAUUUAGAUUUUUGAUUUUUGGCCCAGUUUUCAAGUUGGUCCAAAUUGGGGUCCAAAAUUAAACUUUGUUUGAUUUCAACAAAAAUUGAAUAUAUGGGGUUCUUUGAUAUGCUGAAUCUAACCAUGUAUUUAGAUUUUUUAUUUGUGGACCCCGCUAUCAAAUUGGUUCAUAUUGAGGUCAAAAGGGUCCAAAAUUAAACUUUGUUUGAUUUCAACAAAAAUUGAAUAUAUGGGGUUCUUUGAUAUGCUGAAUCUAACCAUGUAUUUAGAUUUUUGAUUUUUGGGCCCCUUUAUCAACUUUGUCCACAUUGAGGUCAAAAGGGUCCAAAAUUAAACUUAGUUUGAUUUUAACAAAAAUUGAAUUCUUGGGGUUCUUUGAUAUGCUGAAUCUAAACAUGUGUUUAGAUUUUUGAUAAUGGGCCCAGUUUUCAAGUUGGUCCAAGUUGGGGUCCAAAAUUAAACUUUGUUUGAUUUCAACAAAAAUUGAAUAUAUGGGGUUCUUUGAUAUGCUGAAUCUAAACAUGUAUUUAGAUUUUAGAUUUUUGGCCCAGUUUUCAAGUUGGUCCAAAUUGGGGUCCAAAAUCAAACUUUGUUUGAUUUCAACAAGAAUUGAAUAUAUGGGGUUCUUUGAUAUGCUGAAUCUUACCAUGUAUUUAGAUUUUUUAUUUGUGGGCCCGCUUUCAAAUUGGUUCAUAUUGAGGUCAAAAGGGUCCAAAAUUAAACUUUGUUUGAUUUCAUCAAAAAUUGAAUUCUUGGGGUUCUUUGAUUUGCCGAAUCUAACCGUGUAUUUAGAUUUUUGAUUUUUGGGCCCCUUUAUCAACUUUGUCCAUAUUGAGGUCAAAAGGGUACAAAAUUAAACUUAGUUUGAUUUUAGCAAAAAUUGAAUUCUUGGGGUUCUUUGAUAUGCUGAAUCUAAACAUGUAUUUAGAUUUUUGAUUUUUGGCCCAGUUUUCAAGUUGGUCCAAAAUGGGGUCCAAAAUUAAACUUUGUUUGAUUUCAACAAAAAUUGAAUAUAUGGGGUUCUUUGAUAUGCUGAAUCUAACCAUGUAUUUAGAUUUUUUAUUUGUGGACCCCGCUAUCAAAUUGGUUCAUAUUGAGAUCAAAAGGGUCCAAAAUUAAACUUUGUUUGAUUUUAACAAAAAUUGAAUUCUUGGGGUUCUUUGAUAUGCUGAAUCUAAACAUGUGUUUAGAUUUUUGAUAAUGGGCCCAGUUUUCAAGUUGGUCCAAGUUGGGGUCCAAAAUUAAACUUUGUUUGGUUUCAACAAAAAUUGAAUAUAUGGGGUUCUUUGAUAUGCUGAAUCUAAACAUGUAUUUAGAUUUUAGAUUUUUGGCCCAGUUUUCAAGUUGGUCCAAAUUGGGGUCCAAAAUUAAACUUUGUUUGAUUUCAACAAAAAUUGAAUAUAUGGGGUUCUUUGAUAUGCUGAAUCUUACCAUGUAUUUAGAUUUUUUAUUUGUGGGCCCGCUAUCAAAUUGGUUCAUAUUGAGGUCAAAAGGGUCCAAAAUUAAACUUUGUUUGAUUUCAUCAAAAAUUGAAUUCUUGGGGUUCUUUGAUAUGCCAAAUCUAACCGUGUUUUUAGAUUUUUAAUUUUGGGUCCCAUUUUUAAAUUGGUCUACAUUAAGGUCCAAAGGGUCCAAAAUUAAACUUAGUUUGAUUUUAACAAAAAUUGAAUUCUUGGGGUACUUUGAUAUGCUGAAUCUAAACAUGUGUUUAGAUUUUUGAUUAUGGGACUAGUUUUCAAGUUUGUCCAAGUUGGGGUCCAAAAUUAAACUUUGUUUGAUUUCAACAAAAAUUGAAUAUAUGGGGUUCUUUGAUAUGCUGAAUCUAACCAUGUAUUUUGAUUUUGGACAUUGGACCAUAAUAGGUAAAUUAAAAAAAUUGAAGUUCUUAGACCACAUUCUUUCUGUGUCAGAAACCUAUGCUGUGUCAAAUAUUUAAUCACAAUCCAAAUUCAGAGCUGUAUCAAGCUUGAAUGUUGUGUCCUUACUUGCCCCAACUGUUCAGGGUUCGACCUCUGCGGUCUUAUCAAGCUGCGCCCAGCGAAGCAUUUUAUUUAAUGACUAAAACCCAAUAACUCAGAAAUGAUAAAUGAAAAAUUUAUAAAAUUCUAAACAGAGCUUAUAUCAAUAGAUAUAAACAAUUCACCAAAGUUUUAUAAGAACUGCUGAAAGCAUUUUUUAUUUUUGUCCGAAAACUGGAAAAUCCCCCUUUUUUAUGAAUAAAACCCCAUAACUCGGAAACGUAAAAUCUAAAAUUUCUAAAAAACGAAAGGGAGCUCACGUCAAUAGACAU